Molecule: long non-coding RNA, 273 nt
Filed under: Macaca mulatta (Rhesus monkey)
Lineage: Eukaryota; Metazoa; Chordata; Mammalia; Primates; Cercopithecidae
Description: lncRNA (ENSMMUG00000039722.2)
Source: RNAcentral
AUAAUUUUAUAGAUACGUAUUUUCUAGAGAGUGAUGUAACAUCCAUAACAAUCUAAAACAGAUUUUCUAGGAAGUUACCGUGAAAUCUACAAAAGCAAUAAAACAUUUCAUCCCAGGUGCUGAGCUGUGAGGAGAGUAUCAGGGUUUAGGCUCUGCUGCCUUUCCCCGAAGAACUCACUUGGGAAGCAGUCAGAUUAGAAGAUAAUUCUGGAACAAAUGCCUGCCACUCUUUAAUUACAAAAAUGACAAAUGAUCUGUAUCACCACAUAUGCC